UAAUACUGGAUAGGCAAUUAUUCCUGUAAUGGUUUUUUGUUUAAAUGUUUUUUCGCCUAAGGAUGGGUCUGCGGCCGAUUAGGUAGUUGGUUAGGUAAUGGCUUACCAAGCCUUUGAUCGGUACGGGUUGUGAGAGCAAGAGCCCGGAGAUGGAACCUGAGACAAGGUUCCAGGCCCUACGGGGUGCAGCAGGCGCGAAACCUCCGCAAUGUGAGAAAUCGCGACGGGGGGAUCCCAAGUGCCAUUCUUAACGGGAUGGCUUUUCUUUAGUGUAAAAAGCUUUUGGAAUAAGAGCUGGGCAAGACCGGUGCCAGCCGCCGCGGUAACACCGGCAGCUCUAGUGGUAGCAAUUUUUAUUGGGCCUAAAGCGUCCGUAGCCGGUUUAAUAAGUCUCUGGUGAAAUCCUGUAGCUUAACUGUGGGAAUUGCUGGAGAUACUAUUAGACUUGAGACCGGGAGAGGUUAGAGGUACUCCCAGGGUAGAGGUGAAAUUCUGUAAUCCUGGGAGGACCGCCUGUUGCGAAGGCGUCUAACUGGAACGGUUCUGACGGUGAGGGACGAAAGUUAGGGGCGCGAACCGGAUUAGAUACCCGGGUAGUCCUAACUGUAAACGAUGCGGACUUGGUGUUG
RNAcentral lists this ribosomal RNA (629 nucleotides) under uncultured archaeon. Its description in RNAcentral is "bacterial SSU rRNA". It matches the Rfam family "Archaeal small subunit ribosomal RNA", at positions 147 to 776 of the family's 1478-position model. The record is from RNAcentral.